AACGAACGCUGGCGGCAUGCCUAACACAUGCAAGUCGAACGAGACCUUCGGGUCUAGUGGCGCACGGGUGCGUAACGCGUGGGAACCUGCCCUUAGGUUCGGAAUAACUCCCCGAAAGGGGUGCUAAUACCGGAUAAUGUCUUCGGACCAAAGAUUUAUCGCCUUUGGAUGGGCCCGCGUUGGAUUAGCUAGUUGGUAGGGUAAAAGCCUACCAAGGCGCCGAUCCAUAGCUGGUCUGAGAGGAUGAUCAGCCACACUGGGACUGAGACACGGCCCAGACUCAUACGGGAGGGAGCAGGGGGGAAUAUUGGACAAUGGGCGAAAGCCUGAUCCAGCAAUGCCGCGUGAGUGAUGAAGGCCUUAGGGUUGUAAAGCUCUUUUACCCGGGAUGAUAAUGACAGUACCGGGAGAAUAAGCUCCGGCUAACUCCGU
This 432-nucleotide ribosomal RNA is filed under the name uncultured bacterium. RNAcentral describes it as "partial 16S ribosomal RNA". It matches the Rfam family "Bacterial small subunit ribosomal RNA", at positions 29 to 506 of the family's 1533-position model. The record is from RNAcentral.